RNAcentral lists this transfer RNA (77 nucleotides) under Thermochaetoides thermophila DSM 1495. RNAcentral describes it as "Chaetomium thermophilum var. thermophilum DSM 1495 tRNA-Val". Lineage: Eukaryota; Fungi; Ascomycota; Sordariomycetes; Sordariales; Chaetomiaceae. The record is from RNAcentral.
GGCCGACUGGUGUAGUGGUUAUCACGUCUCGUUCACAGCCUCCGAGAAGGUGCCAGGUUCGAUCCCUGGGUCGGUCA